UAAUACAGAGGGUGCGAGCGUUAAUCGGAGUUACUGGGCGUAAAGGGCGCGUAGGCGGUUUUAUAAGUGAGAUGUGAAAGGCCUGGGCUUAACCUAGGAACGGCAUCUUAGACUAUAGGACUAGAGUGCAGUAGAGGGUGGCGGAAUUUCCGGUGUAGCGGUGAAAUGCGUAGAGAUCGGAAGGAACACCAGUGGCGAAGGCGGCCACCUGGACUGUCACUGACGCUGAGGCGCGAGAGCGUGGGUAGCAAACAGGAUUAGAUACCCUGGUAGUCCACGCUGUAAACGAUGAGAACUAGAUGUUUGUUUGCGCGAGCGAAUGAGUAUCGAAGCUAACGCGAUAAGUUCUCCGCCUGGGGAGUACGGUCGCAAGAUUA
This 377-nucleotide ribosomal RNA is filed under the name uncultured bacterium. RNAcentral describes it as "bacterial SSU rRNA". It matches the Rfam family "Bacterial small subunit ribosomal RNA", at positions 521 to 896 of the family's 1533-position model. The record is from RNAcentral.